AGAGUUUGAUCCUGGCUCAGGAUUAACGCUAGCGGCAGGCCUAAUACAUGCAAGUCGAACGGCAGCGGGUCCAGCAAUGGAUGCCGGCGAGUGGCGCACGGGUGCGUAACGCGUAUGCAAUCUACCUUUAACUGGGGGAUAGCCCCGAGAAAUCGGGAUUAAUACCCCAUAAUAUUGAGGAGGGACAUCCCUUUUCAAUUAAAGCUCCGGCGGUUUUAGAUGAGCAUGCGUGACAUUAGCUAGUUGGUGAGGUAACGGCCCACCAAGGCGACGAUGUCUAGGGGUUCUGAGAGGAUUUUCCCCCACACUGGUACUGAGACACGGACCAGACUCCUACGGGAGGCAGCAGUAAGGAAUAUUGGGCAAUGGGCGCAAGCCUGACCCAGCCAUGCCGCGUGAAGGAUGACGGCCCUAUGGGUUGUAAACUUCUUUUGUACGGGAAAAAACCCCCGGUCGUGAACCGGGGCUGAUGGUACCGUAAGAAUAAGCAUCGGCUAACUCCGUGCCAGCAGCCGCGGUAAUACGGAGGAUGCAAGCGUUAUCCGGAUUCAUUGGGUUUAAAGGGUGCGCAGGCGGAAUGAUAAGUCAGUGGUGAAAUCCUACGGCUCAACUGUAGAACUGCCAUUGAUACUGUCAUUCUUGAGUACACUUGAAGUGGGCGGAAUGUGUCAUGUAGCGGUGAAAUGCUUAGAUAUGACACAGAACACCGAUCGCGAAGGCAGCUCACUAAAUUGUAACUGACGCUCAUGCACGAAAGCGUGGGGAUCAAACAGGAUUAGAUACCCUGGUAGUCCACGCCGUAAACGAUGAUCACUCGAUGUUGGCGAUACACUGUCAGCGUCUAAGCGAAAGCAUUAAGUGAUCCACCUGGGGAGUACGGCCGCAAGGUUGAAACUCAAAGAAUUGACGAUCUC
This 914-nucleotide ribosomal RNA is filed under the name uncultured bacterium. RNAcentral's name for it is "bacterial SSU rRNA". It matches the Rfam family "Bacterial small subunit ribosomal RNA", at positions 8 to 920 of the family's 1533-position model. The record is from RNAcentral.